RNAcentral lists this ribosomal RNA (517 nucleotides) under uncultured bacterium. Its description in RNAcentral is "bacterial SSU rRNA". It matches the Rfam family "Bacterial small subunit ribosomal RNA", at positions 64 to 553 of the family's 1533-position model. The record is from RNAcentral.
GGGAGAUCAAGUUUUCGGACGAGAGAUCCCUGGUGAGAGUGGCGGAAGGGUGAGGAACACGUGGGUAAUCUACCUCCGAGUCGGGGACAACCCCGCGAAAGCGGGGCUAAUACCGGAUAUGGACGUCCGUCGCAUGGCGGACAGUUCAAAGGCGGGGACCUUUCGGGGCCUGCCGCUUGGAGAGGGGCCCGCGUCCUAUCAGCUUGUUGGUGAGGUAACGGCUCACCAAGGCUUACGGGUAGCUGGUCUGAGAGGAUGGUCAGCCACACUGGGACUGAGACACUGCCCAGACUCCUACGGGAGGCUGCAGUCGAGGAUCAUUCACAAUGCGCGAAAGCGUGACGAUGCGACGCUGCGUGGAGGAUGAAGGCCUUCGGGUUGUAAACUCCUGUCACUCGGGAACAACGGGCCGGUCCUGAACAGGGGCUGGAUUUGAUAGUACCGAGAGAGGAAGCCACGGCUAACUCUGUGCCAGCAGCCGCGGUAAGACAGAGGUGGCGAGCGUUGUUCGGAUUUA